Molecule: ribosomal RNA, 491 nt
Filed under: uncultured bacterium
Lineage: Bacteria
Description: bacterial SSU rRNA
Rfam family: Bacterial small subunit ribosomal RNA
Source: RNAcentral
GAUGAACGCUGGCGGCGUGCAUAACACAUUCAAGUCGAACGGGAAUCCAAUGAUUGAAGCUUCGGCCGAUUGAGUUGGAGGAUAGUGGCGGACGGGUGAGUAACGCGUGAGCAACCUGCCUUUGUGAGGGGGAUAACACAGGGAAACUUGUGCUAAUACCGCAUGACGCAUACUGUAAGCAUUUACGGUAUGUUAAAGGAGCAAUCCGCACAAAGAUGGACUCGCGUCCGAUUAGAUAGUUGGUGAGGUAACGGCUCACCAAGUCGACGAUCGGUAGCCGGACUGAGAGGUUGAACGGCCACAUUGGGACUGAGACACGGCCCAGACUCCUACGGGAGGCAGCAGUGGGGGAUAUUGCACAAUGGGGAAAACCCUGAUGCAGCAACGCCGCGUGAGGGAAGAAGGUUUUCGGAUUGUAAACCUCUGUCCUCUGUGAAGAUAAUGACGGUAGCAGAGGAGGAAGCUCCGGGCUAACUACGUGCCAGCAGCCG